This 63-nucleotide transfer RNA is filed under the name Emeia pseudosauteri. RNAcentral describes it as "tRNA-Phe". The record is from RNAcentral. Lineage: Eukaryota; Metazoa; Arthropoda; Insecta; Coleoptera; Lampyridae.
AUUUUAAUAGCUUAUAUAGAGUAUGAUAUUGAAGAUGUCAUGGAGAUUUUUAAUCUUAGAAUA